Molecule: ribosomal RNA, 178 nt
Filed under: Porphyromonas gingivalis
Lineage: Bacteria; Pseudomonadati; Bacteroidota; Bacteroidia; Bacteroidales; Porphyromonadaceae
Description: partial 23S ribosomal RNA
Rfam family: Bacterial large subunit ribosomal RNA
Source: RNAcentral
ACCGCCGGGUAUCCACGUCUGGUAAGGAUAAGUGCUGAAAGCAUCUAAGCACGAAGCCGGCCUCAAGAUAAGAUUUCCAUAAAUAGGGUGGUUAAAGACUAUGACCUUGAUAGGCUGCAGGUGUAUGGUUGGUAACAAUUAAGCCGAGCAGUACUAAUAGCCCGAAACUUUUGUGCAU